This 73-nucleotide transfer RNA is filed under the name Bos taurus (domestic cattle). It matches the Rfam family "tRNA". Rfam says of the family: Transfer RNA (tRNA) molecules are approximately 80 nucleotides in length. RNAcentral also lists the same sequence under 4 other names. Lineage: Eukaryota; Metazoa; Chordata; Mammalia; Artiodactyla; Bovidae. The record is from Rfam by way of RNAcentral.
UCCUGGGCAGUCCAGUAGUUAGGACUCUGCACUUCCAAUGCAGGGGGCACAGGUUCAAUCCCUGGUCAGGGAA